This 638-nucleotide ribosomal RNA is filed under the name uncultured bacterium. Its description in RNAcentral is "bacterial SSU rRNA". It matches the Rfam family "Bacterial small subunit ribosomal RNA", at positions 84 to 740 of the family's 1533-position model. The record is from RNAcentral.
AUUUAUUUCUAGUGGCGGACGGGUGAGUAACGCGUGGGUAACCUGCCUUAUACAGGGGGAUAACAGUCAGAAAUGACUGCUAAUACCGCAUAAGCGCACAGAGCUGCAUGGCUCAGUGUGAAAAACUCCGGUGGUAUAAGAUGGACCCGCGUUGGAUUAGCUAGUUGGUGGGGUAACGACCCACCAAGGCGACGAUCCAUAGCCGGCCUGAGAGGGUGAACGGCCACAUUGGGACUGAGACACGGCCCAGACUCCUACGGGAGGCAGCAGUGGGGAAUAUUGCACAAUGGGGGAAACCCUGAUGCAGCGACGCCGCGUGAAGGAAGAAGUAUCUCGGUAUGUAAACUUCUAUCAGCAGGGAAGAUAGUGACGGUACCUGACUAAGAAGCCCCGGCUAACUACGUGCCAGCAGCCGCGGUAAUACGUAGGGGGCAAGCGUUAUCCGGAUUUACUGGGUGUAAAGGGAGCGUAGACGGUGUGGCAAGUCUGAUGUGAAAGGCAUGGGCUCAACCUGUGGACUGCAUUGGAAACUGUCAUACUUGAGUGCCGGAGGGGUAAGCGGAAUUCCUAGUGUAGCGGUGAAAUGCGUAGAUAUUAGGAGGAACACCAGUGGCGAAGGCGGCUUACUGGACGGUAAC